UACGUAGGGACCAAGCGUUGUUCGGAUUUACUGGGCGUAAAGGGCGCGUAGGCGGCAAUUCAAGUCAGUUGUGAAAUCUCCGAGCUUAACUCGGAACGGUCAACUGAUACUGUUUUGCUAGAGUGCAGAAAGGGCAACCGGAAUUCUUGGUGUAGCGGUGAAAUGCGUAGAUAUCAAGUGGAACACCAGUGGCGAAGGCGAGUCCCUGGACAAGACCUGACACUGAGGCACGAAAGCCAGGGGAGCAAACAGG
Molecule: ribosomal RNA, 253 nt
Filed under: uncultured bacterium
Lineage: Bacteria
Description: partial 16S ribosomal RNA
Rfam family: Bacterial small subunit ribosomal RNA
Source: RNAcentral